Molecule: long non-coding RNA, 1277 nt
Organism: Salvelinus namaycush (lake trout)
Lineage: Eukaryota; Metazoa; Chordata; Actinopteri; Salmoniformes; Salmonidae
Exons: 2
Source: RefSeq, a predicted model, not a curated record
UGAAAGGCUGAACUUGUUUCUGCCCUGUCGCUCUGUCUACAUACUCAGGGACCAGGCCAGAUAAGUUCACCCAUGAGAUCCUUAAAGAUGAUGAGUCUAUUUUCUCUGGACAGAGAGUGCCCCGCCAUCGCCGCAUCUCUGUCAUCUGCCGGAACCUUCCUGUUUGAAGCAUGAGUGCCAAGAGGGACACAACUGUGACAGUCUCACUGGCAGUAGCCAGAGCUCGGUAUCUGAGACUUCAAGAACAUCACUGUGUUAAAAUUUGAUGUACACGCUUUCUCACUGUGCGAGAGACUGUUGGGAAAGAUGAUUUAGAUGUUUCCUUUAUCAGUUUUCAUUGGAGCACUUUUUUCUAAAUAAACUACCUGUACAGGAUUUGAUUGUGAAUUAAAUGUUGGGAAGGCAUUCAGAUAUGAUGCAGUUCAAAGGGUCAUAAUGCAUUACAAGACUUGUCAUAAGUAUCUAUGAACUUCUUAUGCUAAUUAACAUUAUAUAAUGAAUCUGAGUUAGCCUUUUCAAAAAUGACACAUAGAAAGGCAAGUUGAUAUGUUGUAGGAGAACCAGUUGAAGGAGAACCUGCAUUUUCUAUCCAAGAUCUGUACUAGGUAAUUACCAAUUGCUUUGAAUUCUUAGAGGUAAAUGGAUACUUCAAAUAGUUAUAGCCCUAUAUUUGACGUCGCUCAUGGGCGUUCUAGAAGGCUACAAUGCGGUGCCUGGGAAAUAACUGGUGACAUUUUUGUAGAAUACUUGUUUCAGGGGAAAAUCCUGUUACUGAUGGCAUAUCUAUAAUCUGUAACUCCUUGUCCAUCCAUCCAAAUUGUUAAAUGUGUGGAUAUCUGUAUAGAAACCGUCUGAAACUCUUCUCCAAACCGGCACCUAUAACCAGAGGAGUCUUGCCCAUGUCCUGUUUAAAAUGUUAAAAAAUCUGAUUAAAUGAAUGACUAAACUUCAUUUUUAAACCCACAUUUUAUCAUCAUUGUUUAAAAAAAGAUCUGUCAGUGGUAUUUAGUAUUUUAUUAGCAUCUCCAUUAGCUACUGCUCUUACUGGGGUCCACAAAAACAUGAUGUAACACAUCACAAGGAUAGAACUACAAUACAUACAUUUCAAAUAAUACUCUCUUUCAUACAUUUAUGCCUUCAUAAUCAUGUGAUUCAUACUGAAAUCAAGUGCAAUACACGAAAAUGAAAUAACAAGGAGGUUCCCCUGAUGUGAAUAAAUCGACCUUGUUUUGCUAAAUUCCCCUGACGUGAAUAAAGCUACAUUGUUUCUACAGUUA